ACCCGCCAGCCCCGCGCUCUACCAGGCAGAGCGCGUGUGGCCGCCGAGCACAUGGACCCACUGGUCAAGCGGGCUCGGCAAGGCCAGGAUGAAGAGAAGCUACGAACUUAGCAUUCCCAGAGCCCCCCGAGUGGAUAUCCGCGUGGAAAGGAUGUUGGCAGCCCCGGUGACCUCGGAGUCACGGCUGGAUCCACCCUCUUAGAGCCGAGUUCUGUCACCACAGACAUUGGCAGUGGCACUUGCAUGCCCCUGGCAAGCAGUCUAUCCUGAGGUGGAGGAAGUUGCCCUUGAGUUCUGGCUGGUAACCAGCACAGUAUACCCUUUAAGCGUUCCAGAAGGAUUUUGAGAUCCUUUCCUAAAUCAAAGGUGGAAUAUUUGGGGAUUUGGAAAAUUGAGGCUUCAGAGAAAUCAGGAGCGGUGAAUGAUCGAAAUGGACCUUUGAGAUUACAGUGUGGAGCUGACAUUGCCAGUUAAGCCUGGGCAGAUCUGACUUAAUUGAUUUAGUUGUUGGAGCAGAGACAACCCAGAGGCUUGGAUCAGCCUCCCCAUCUGACAGUGUGCUGAUGUGAAGCGUUGACUUAAGAGAUGCCAAGUAACUCAGCAGAUGUCACACAGACGAUAAAUAGCAAAGAUGGAAGUCUUCAUGCCGGAGGCAAUCCUAUAAGACAGCUGAGUUCUGCAGAGCUGGUAGGAGACAGACUUGCUCAGGUGAUAGAUCCAGCCAUGAUACUGACCCUAAGAGAAUGAGACGCUCUGCAGAAGACAGAAGAUUCCUGAAACUGGGAAAGGUGCCUAGAAAUCCUGAUAAGAGUGAAGAAGGGUACCUGGAGGCACAGCAGCCAUGUUGAACCUAUGAGGUGAUGAAAAACCAUGCAACUAGAAACCAGAAUGGAAGAAAAGAAGAAGCUGGAUCCUUGACUGAAUUGUCGAUGGGGGAUAGUCCAUCAUCCCAGGGCUAAGACCACCUCCAGAUUUCUUGUUUGGUGAAACAAGUCCUGAUUGUUUACAUUCCCUCGUGUUGAGCUGUCUCUUGCUUGUAGCUGAAAGCAUUUCUAAUAGAUAUUCAGAUUAUCAGCCUUAGCUCCAAGCUAGAAUACUCUAUGGGACCUUAGCUUCUCCAUGAAUUCCUUUGCUCAUCUGUGUAAUGCUCAAUAAAUGUAAAUUGAACCCUGAAUGAGGGACAAUGACACUA
This 1192-nucleotide long non-coding RNA is filed under the name Mus musculus (house mouse). Its description in RNAcentral is "Pvt1 oncogene". The stretch from base 44 to 200 matches the Rfam family "Pvt1 oncogene conserved region 1". Lineage: Eukaryota; Metazoa; Chordata; Mammalia; Rodentia; Muridae. The record is from RNAcentral.